Pan troglodytes (chimpanzee) is the source of this 3412-nucleotide RNA transcript. It is a transcript of the gene named protein FRG1B-like, with no coding region annotated. The transcript has 7 exons. Lineage: Eukaryota; Metazoa; Chordata; Mammalia; Primates; Hominidae. The record is from RefSeq and is a predicted model, not a curated record.
UCCUCCUCGCCCUGGUGCUGCUCCAGGUCACAUACUCUUCCCGAGCCGGCUUCAGCCUCUCCGCGCAGAAGUCUCCCGGAGUCAUGGCCUAGUACUCUUAUGUGAAGUCUACCAAGCUUGUGCUCAGGGGAACCGAGGUGAAGAGCUGGGUCCUGCAGCUCCGGCGGGAGCCUCCUCAGUUCUUUUCGGAUGCACUCCACCCCCGCGAAUCCGGUGGAAGCCGUGAUGCGGAGAGCCGGCUUCGUGGCCUCCCAGGCUUCUUUUGCUCUGACCCUGUCUGGGCUGGACGGAGGCCGGACCGCGGUUCCUGGCGCCUGUGCAGAGAGGGGCAGCCUCCUGCGCGGACGACCCUGGAAACAGGAUAGACGGGCGGGUGACCCGUGGCCCCGUACUCACGAGUUUGGGUCCCCUGAGGCAUCUCUCCAGGCCUCUGCCUGGUGGGUCUGCCUUAGUCUGAUCUUGUAGUUCAUUAUAAUAACUUCCUUUAUUAGGGAUUAUUCUUUUCUCCAUUGUCUCUUCCUGGAAAAAUUAUUGAUUAAUUUUUUUCUAAGCUAAUAUGUAGAGUGAAACCAGGAUGAAUCACACAGUGGUUGAGGUGUAUAUGGACUUUGAUAGGGAUAUGGGCUGGAACCUGCACUCUGUCAUUUACUAAUUUUGUAAUUUGUGGCAAAUUGGUUAAUAUGUCUGAACUUCCAUUUACUCAUUAAGAGAUCAAGUAUCUUUGAACCUCCGUUUACACAUUUAUACUUUCAGACCAUUUUUUAUACCUUUAGAAGACUGUGAGGAUUAAAUGAGAGAACAUACAUGCAGUAAAUAAAUUGAGCCAAAUGUGAGGAGGAGGUUGUAGUGGUAAUUUAUUAGCUCUUUAGGAGAAAAAUACCUGUGCAUUCAUAUCCCCGCUUCUUUUUUAACUGGCAGAUUUGCCUGAGGUUAACUGUACAUACAAAUAUUGAGCAUUUCCUCCUGGCCUCCGUGAUAAACAGAAGUUUUGAUAUUGUUAGGCGAGAUGGAAAGAAAGUAUCAAGGAGUGAGCUGAAGCCACUGCCCUUGAGAACCCUCUCGAGGAGUCUGGCCUCAUGAAGAUGCCAGAAUAAAUGGCAGUAAGAAGAAAGAGAGCAAAGAUAAGAAGAGAAAAAGAGAAGAAGAUGAAGAAACCCAGCUUGAUAUGUUGGAACGCAGCUCCUCACCAGCAAUGAAACAAAGCUGGACGGAGAAUGACUUUGACGAGCUGAGAGAAGAAGGCUUCAGAUGAUCAAAUUACUCUGAGCUACGGGAGGACAUUCAAACCAAAGGCAAAGAAGUUGAAAACUUUGAAAAAAAUAUAUGUACAUUUCUUAACGUGGAAUCUGGUGAACAGUAACAAACUUUGGUGAAAUUUCAGGAACCAUAGCCAUUGAAAUGGAUGAGGGAACCUAUAUACAUGCACUCGACAAUGGUCUUUUUACCCUGGGAGCUCCACACAAAGAAGUUGAUGAGGGCCCUAGUCCUCCAGAGCAGUUUAUGGCUGUCAAAUUAUCUGAUUCCAGAUUAGAUCCUGUGCUGAAAGAGAAACCAAGAAAAAAGAUGACAUUCCAGAAGAAGACAAAGGAAAUGUAAAACAAUGUGAAAUCAAUUAUGUACGGAGUCUCGCUCUGUCCCCCAGACUGGAGUGCAGUGCCAUGAUCUCAGCUCAUCGCAACCUCCACCUCCCAGGUUCAUGUGAUUCUCCUGCCUCAGCCUCCCGAGUAGCUGGGACUACAGGCACACGCCACUACGCUCGGCUAAUUUUUGUAUCUUUAGUAGAGACGGGGUUUCACCAUGUUGGCCAGGCUGUUCUCGAACUCCUGACCUCGAGUGAUCUGCCUGCCUUGGCCUCCCAAAGUGCUGGGAUUGCAGGCAUGAGCCACUGUGCCUGGCCUACAAUUAGACUUUUUUAAUAAGUGAAAAAGAAAUUAACAGUAUUUAUAAAUUUAAUAGUAAAUAUGUAUAAUCAGAGUUUGAGGUUUUUUCAAUGAAGGCAUUUUCUUUGCAUAAAGAAAUUUCAGAGCUUCCAAGACCACAAACUUAAAAUAAGUAAAGAAGCAGUAAAAUUCUUAAAAAGACACAGAAAGAUGGAUUUUUGCAUGAGACGCUUCUGGACAGGUAGCUAUUUAUUUACUUAUUUCCACUAUUUUCAGUAGCCAAUAGAAAUGGCAUAUAGAAAACCUACAUUCUCUUAAAUUACUGUAGUUUUCACAUUUUUGUCUUUAUUUCUAAUUUAUGAGUGUGGCAAUAUUACCUAGAGAGGACAUCAUGAGUUUGGGAAAAGACUUUCAAGAAAGAAUAUCUAAAAAUUAUAACCGAUUCUAAGCAUAUACUUUAAGAAAUUCAGGUUUGACUGUAUCUACUUCAUAAAUUUAUCAUUAUCUUUUUAUAACUAUUAGAACCAGAGUUAGAAAGAAGCAGUUUGACUAAUAUAAAAAUUAUGUGGAUUCUGUUAGAGUAGUUCAGGUUCCUUAAAAUAAGCAUAGAUCAACUAAAAAACUAAGUAUAAAAGCUAAACAAGUGAAAUUGAAGCAGUUUUAUUGUAAGAUUUGGAAGAGUGCAGGAUGUUUAUCAUAGCACAUUAUUAAUAUUUAUUACUAUUCCUAUGUAGAUAAGUGAUGUCCUAGAUUUACAACAUAGAAAAACAGGUAGAGACGUUUAGCUGUGAGUGUACAAGUAUAAAUCAAUUAAGUGCCAGAUUUUGAUAAUCACCAGCAGCUCAUUCAAGUCCUAUGUUGGAAAGUUACUCUUACCCUUUUUUUACAUUACUUGAUAAAGGCAAUGUUUAAUUACAUAUUUCCUGUUAACUAGCUGGUAGAGUUCAUACCUAAAGUCAGUAAAUAACAUUAAGAACUUUUUCCAGCUGAGCAAAUGAGUAUGUAUCUAGUUGUAAGAAAUCAAGAAGAGGAUAUAAAAUAUAAUCAGGAUGUGGAGUCUAAAAUGGAAUAAGCUCUAUGUCCUGUAACUUUUUUCACUUGUAAUAAUACUGCAUUCUCACCCUGUUAAAUGGAAAUUUAGAGCACCCUUAAAUUCCAGCAUAAUUAAAAUUGCUAUUUGGAUUGAAAAAGCCCUUAGGCAACAUUUAUUGAAUAUUAGGAAAUAACUUUUAUAAGAUUGGAAUCCAUUUUUUAUAGAAACCAAAUUUAAAAGUAUACAUAUUUUAAUAUAAGUGUUGUGGUAAUACACUAACCAAAAUUGAACACACAGUUUUAACGCUUUUUAUAUUUAGUAGCAGUUGAAUAUAUAUGACAUGUUUUACAUAGAUUAAUUUUACUAUUUUUCUUUAUUUAAACAAGAGAACCAAAUUGAAAGCUGACAGAUACUGCAAAUGACUGGGAUUUUUGUUUCUGCCUUAUCUUUUUGUGUGUUUUUUUCUGAAUAAAAUAUUCAGAAGAAAUGCUUUUACAGA